Molecule: ribosomal RNA, 236 nt
Filed under: uncultured Acaulospora
Lineage: Eukaryota; Fungi; Glomeromycota; Glomeromycetes; Diversisporales; Acaulosporaceae
Description: partial 18S rRNA
Rfam family: Eukaryotic small subunit ribosomal RNA
Source: RNAcentral
UUGGAGGGCAAGUCUGGUGCCAGCAGCCGCGGUAAUUCCAGCUCCAAUAGCGCAUAUUAAAGUUGUUGCAGUUAAAAAGCUCGUAGUUGAAUUUCGGAAUUUGUCGGUUGGUCGGGCUUCACUGUCCGCACUGGCCUGAUGGAUUCCUACCUUCUGAAUAACCAGCAUGCUAUUAAUUUAGUGCGUUGGGGAAGCAGAGCUAUUACCUUGAAAAAAUUAGAGUGUUUAAAGCAGGC